RNAcentral lists this long non-coding RNA (888 nucleotides) under Nicotiana benthamiana. Its description in RNAcentral is "long non-coding RNA (NBEN_LNC019401)". The record is from RNAcentral. Lineage: Eukaryota; Viridiplantae; Streptophyta; Magnoliopsida; Solanales; Solanaceae.
CUUGUCCGGUAGAUGGGAAAUACUGCCAAACAUGCACUCUCCCCGUAGAUUGUGCUCUGGCUUUUUCAUGGAUGGAAAAUUCCAUGUGAUCGGUGGGAUGACUAGUGCUACUGAUUCUUUGACUUGUGGGGAAGAAUUUGAUAUACAAACAAGGAAGUGGAGGAAAAUUGAGGGCAUGUAUUAUGUGAUCGGUGGGAUGACUAGCGCUACUGAUUCUUUGACUUGUGGGGAAGAAUUUGAUAUACAAACAAGGAAGUGGAGGAAAAUUGAGGGCAUGUAUCCAAGUGUCAAUAGAGCUGCUCAGGCACCUCCUCUUGUUGCAGUCGUUAAUAACCAACUAUAUGCAGUUGAAUAUCUAACCAACAUGGUAAAGAAGUAUGACAAGAAAAAAAACUCAUGGGAAGUGUUGGGAAGACUUCCUGUGAGGGCUGAUUCUUCAAAUGGUUGGGGUCUUGCUUUCAAAGCACGUGGUGAAGAACUUCUGGUGGUGGGCGGCCACAGGGGCCCAGAAGGCGAAUCUAUCGUAUUGAGUUCCUGGGCACCAAAAUCAGGCUUUAAGGACGGCACCUUGGAUUGGAAGGUCAUUGGUCUGAAAGAGCAUUCCGGGGUCUUUGUAUACAAUUGUGCUGUGAUGGGUUGUUGAGAAGUUCAGUCAACCAAAUGGAGAAAGAAGUCACUCUUUUCAGUCGUUGUUUUUAGCUUAAUUCCAACACAUUGUUUGAUUUAUUAGAAUUUGUUUUUUUCUUUUUAUUUUCAUUAUCCAAUUUAACAUAUUUCCAGUGUUUGAGAUAAGCAAUUGUUCUAGCCAAAUAUCCUCUAACUGGAUGGUUAUCUCACUUAUUCGGCAGACUGCGUGCUUCCAAGUGUUCUCAGUUUUCACCUUGUUCA